RNAcentral lists this non-coding RNA (32 nucleotides) under Syntrophotalea carbinolica DSM 2380. Lineage: Bacteria; Pseudomonadati; Thermodesulfobacteriota; Desulfuromonadia; Desulfuromonadales; Syntrophotaleaceae. The record is from RNAcentral.
AUGCGGUUUGCCACCGGGUCUAUAACGCCUAA